This 253-nucleotide ribosomal RNA is filed under the name uncultured bacterium. RNAcentral describes it as "partial 16S ribosomal RNA". It matches the Rfam family "Archaeal small subunit ribosomal RNA", at positions 474 to 727 of the family's 1478-position model. The record is from RNAcentral.
UACCCGCAGCACAAGUGGUGGUCAUUAUUAUUGGGCCUAAAGCGUCCGUAGUUGGCCUGUUAGAUGCCUGGGUAAAUCGAUGCGCUCAACGUAUCGAAUUCCGGGUAGACCGGCAGGCUUGGGACCGGGAGAGAUGUGAGCUACUCGAGGGGUAGGGGUAAAAUCCUGUAAUCCUUCGGGGAGGACCAGUGGCGAAGGCGUCACAUUAGAACGGCUCCGACAGUGAGGGACGAAGCCCUGGGGCGCAAACCGG